AGCAGCCGCGGUAAUUCCAGCUCCAAUAGCGUAUAUUAAAGUUGUUGCAGUUAAAAAGCUCGUAGUUGAAUUUCGAGACCGGCUUACUGGUCGUGCUUUUGUACGUACUGGUAUAAUCGGUUUCUCCUUUCUGACGAACUAUAAUGCCAUUAAUUUGGUGUUAUAGGGAAUUAGGACUGUUACUUUGAAAAAAUUAGAGUGUUUAAAGCAGGCUCACGCUUGAAUACAUUAGCAUGGAAUAACGGAAUAGGACGUUUGAUUCUAUUUUGUUGGUUUCUAGGAUCGACGUAAUGAUUAAUAGGGAUAGUUGGGGGCAUUAGUAUUCAAUUGUCAGAGGUGAAAUUCUUGGAUUUAUUGAAGACUAACUACUGCGAAAAGCAUUUGCCAAGGAUGUUUUCAUUAAUCAAGAACGAAAGUUAGGGGAUCGAAGACGAUCAGAUACCGUCGUAGUCUUAACCAUAAACUAUGCCGACUAGGGAUCGGAUGAUGUUAAUUUUUAAUGUACUCAUUCGGCGCCUUA
Molecule: ribosomal RNA, 520 nt
Filed under: uncultured Glomeromycotina
Lineage: Eukaryota; Fungi; Glomeromycota
Description: SSU rRNA
Rfam family: Eukaryotic small subunit ribosomal RNA
Source: RNAcentral